GAUGAAGAACGUAGCAAAAUGCGAUAAGUAAUGUGAAUUGCAGAAUUCAGUGAAUCAUCGAAUCUUUGAACGCACAUUGCGCCCCCUGGUAUUCCGGGGGGCAUGCCUGUCCGAGCGUCAUUACAACCCUCAAGCUCAGCUUGGUAUUGGGCCCCGCCGACCCGGCGGGCCCUAAAGUCAGUGGCGGUGCCGUCCGGCUCCGAGCGUAGUAAUUCUUCUCGCUCUGGAGGUCCGGUCGUGUGCUCGCCAGCAACCCCCAAUUUUUUUCAGGUUGACCUCGGAUCAGGUAGGGAUACCCGCUGAACUUAAGCAUAUCAAUAAGCGGAGGA
Molecule: unclassified non-coding RNA, 329 nt
Filed under: soil metagenome
Description: partial contains 5.8S ribosomal RNA, internal transcribed spacer 2, and large subunit ribosomal RNA
Rfam family: 5.8S ribosomal RNA (bases 1-120)
Source: RNAcentral